UACGGGAGGCAGCAGUGGGGAAUAUUGCACAAUGGGCGAAAGCCUGAUGCAGCUAUGCCGCGUGUAUGAAGAAGGCCUUAGGGUUGUAAAGUACUUUCAUCGGGGAGGAAAAAACAAAACUAAUAAUUUUAUUUCUUGACGUUACCCGAAAAAGAAGCACCGGCUAACUCCGUGCCAGCAGCCGCGGUAAUACGGAGGGUGCUAGCGUUAAUCAGAAUUACUGGGCGUAAAGAGCACGUAGGUGGUUUUUUUAAGUCAGAUGUGAAAUCCCUGGGCUUAACCUAGGAACUGCAUUUUGAAACUGAAAUACUAGAGUAUCGUAGAGGGAGGUAGAAUUCUAGGUGUAGCGGUGAAAUGCGUAGAUAUCUGGAGGAAUACCUGUGGCGAAAGCGGCCUCCUAAACGAAUACUGACACUGAGGGUGCGAAAGCGUGGGGAGCAAACAGGGAUUAGAUACCCGU
RNAcentral lists this ribosomal RNA (460 nucleotides) under uncultured bacterium. RNAcentral's name for it is "bacterial SSU rRNA". It matches the Rfam family "Bacterial small subunit ribosomal RNA", at positions 340 to 789 of the family's 1533-position model. The record is from RNAcentral.